UGAGAGUUGGAUCUUGCUAACAGGAGAUCCAUAGCUGAGAUGUUGCUUUCAGGAGUUAUAAGUAAGACUGAGUGGACCUGGAGGAAUACGUGUGCUCUGGGUACAGUCUAAUUUCAAAUAUAUAUUAACAUAGAACAAAUAUCAAAAAUACCUUACAGUGCAAUAAAUAUAGAUGCUCGAAUCUCCCCUAGGAGAUCUGCCAACGGAAGCAGGAAGCUGCUUUUCAGAGAAAUCUGCAUCAGCUGGCCGGCUCUGAAGCACUCCUGACUGCAAACAGGAAUGGAGAAUGUUGAGGUUUACAUGUGUGAAACAAUGAAAUGCUAUUUUCCAUUGUGAAGGAAAUAUCUCUCAUUACUAAAAAUUUAAAAGAAAAAAAAUCUGAAGAUCAAAAAUGAAGUUAUUCCAGGCUGAGCCCACAUUGUAAUUUUAGUUCUUUGUGUGUAGACUGUGAAGUACAGUGACCACUUCCUACAGACUGGUUUCUGAAAUUCUGGUUUUGUCACUUGAGAAUAAUGUAAUUUAGUUGAUGUGCUGAUAACUCAACCAUAAUUUUAGUUACUUACUGUAGAUCAGAAGUGGUAUGGGUUGUUUAAAACUACGUUCAUGUAUGUGAAAGACUAAAUUUAGACAUCUGAAUUUUCAUGUAUAUGUUCAUAU
Grammomys surdaster is the source of this 657-nucleotide long non-coding RNA. RefSeq lists it as uncharacterized. The transcript has 3 exons. The record is from RefSeq and is a predicted model, not a curated record. Lineage: Eukaryota; Metazoa; Chordata; Mammalia; Rodentia; Muridae.